GGGGGGGCGACGAGAUGAUUAACAACAGACACGGUGUUACAGUUGUCAGUACGACAGCUCAGUGUUUGUCCCAACUCGGUUAUUUGGAAGAGGGGCGUGUCCAAACGAUCAGAUUACGCUUGCGCCUCCAGAUCAGUUUCCACUGGAUCAGUUUCCACUGGUUUUCACACCGCACCAACUAGUUUUUCAUCUUGCCACGGUGGGGACGCGUCCUAUGUCCACACAGACGAGUCGACGAUAUUCCAAUUAUGAAUUACAUUCAAACAAAAUACGUAAUAACUGCCUAAUGCCAAAGCAUUUUUGAAGACGUACCUGUAUACGGUACACCUAAACGGCCCUUACGUCAUAGUGUGCUUUUGCAGCAAUUUGCGACAGUCGUACAGCAGGAUGACGCCCUACUUGCUGGCAGCUCCCCUCCGUAGCUUCUCAAUGACGCUGAGCAACCGAAUUGCUAACCUUAUACUAAAUGUCUACAAAAACGUGGGGGCUUCCUUCAAUCUGCCAUCACAAGGUGUGGAGAAAACAUCACAGGGAUAAGCUAUACGGACUAACAUGCUUUAGACUAUGUGACCGCCAUGUUGUAGAUGGCUGUGUUUCAAAGCUCCACAAUGGGAGAGGAGGUCGAUGUACAGAGAAUGUGGAGGUGGGAGAGGUUUCUACAUCCAGACCUGGACAAGCGGAGUGACACUGCAGUGAUAUGCACAGGGCUUCUUUUUGGAAUGAGUUGAUUUCUUUUUCAUUCCCUCACAUCCCCCCACCCCCUCCUGUUGCCACAUUGACAUUCAAACUGACGACAGGGCUCUCACAGGAUCUGGCAUUGACUUGGCUCGAGUUUUAUAAGGUUGCAGAUGCAGCUGUACCAUUUUAGUUAAAAGCAACUUUCAAAAGACGCCUUUGGAGUUUGAUUUGAUAUUAGGCAAAAGCGGACUUUUGUUCAGUUCUAUAUUGCUGCUGACAAUUCAAAAGUGUGGAACCGUCCCACUCACAGCCGUCACCCAUCCUCAGUUUCUUCCACCCGUCGUGUGCCUAAAUACGCCUCCUUGGGACAAUCACACAAGUCAUCAGCGGCUGCUGUGGUUAAUUCUUUGCUGUUGUCCUCGAUGUGCUUCUGUUCCCCGCUUGCUGGGCCUUCAUCCGCUAAAUCUUUUUAUUUUCUGCUCCCUUACUUUAAGAUUUACUCCCCCCCCCCAAGCCAGAUAAUCAUAAUUCAAGCGCAGCGAUUGCGAUUAAUUUAAAAACGUCUAAGACUCUUUUGUAUGGACAAGUAGGGGUGUUAGUUAAGACUCAGUUACCUUCUUGCACCGAACACAGUACCAUUUAAGCCAUACAAAAAUAUUUAUAAAUUUCCUAUACAUAUUUUUGUAUCAAAUUGCUCCUGCUUUUUUAUGCUCAAAUUAUAAUUCAGCAUAAACACUUUUAUAUUUGCACACUAUAAACAUGCAAGUGGAACUGUAUAUUGCUAUAUUAUUUUGAAGAGUUUAUAUUUGCGUGAGAGUUGUAGUCCUGGAAAGUGUUGCUAUUUCCAUUCAUAUGCUGCUUUGCUUUGGGUCGUCCCAUGGCCUCUCCCAAACGUAUUUUUAAUUUUAACUCGUAUAACAGCCUUUAAAGUAGGUAGACAGUAGGUACCUACCUCUCUCUUGGUCUUCCUCCCAUUGCUCCGUGUCUGAUGCCGGGCUUCAGCAGUGGGGGUGUUGGGGGAGGAGUGGGUGGCCAGGUUUCUGCUCCUCCUCGCCCUUUUAGACCCAGCCGAUAUGUCCCGGUGUCGGCAGCCACAACCUUCCUCGUCGGAUCCACCACGCUCUUCUUCUGCUUCACCUGUCCAUGGUUGUACGAGUAUUUCUCCCCAGUCAUUCCCAUUUAUAUUGCCGUGAUUUUCCUCUUCACGCUGGCCAACUUCUGUAUGGCUACGUUCAUGGAUCCUGGAGUCUUCCCCCGAGCGGAGGAGGAUGAGGACAAAGAAGAUGAUUUUCGUGCUCCGCUCUACAAGACGGUGGAGAUCAAAGGCAUUCAGGUGCGCAUGAAGUGGUGUUCCACCUGCCGCUUCUACCGACCCCCACGCUGCUCACAUUGCUCGGUCUGCGACAACUGUGUGGAGGACUUUGACCACCACUGUCCUUGGGUGAACAACUGUAUUGGUCGGCGCAAUUAUCGCUAUUUCUUCCUCUUCCUGUUGUCACUCACCACCCACAUCGUGGACGUUUUUGGCUUUGGCCUCGUUUAUGUGCUCCACCACCGCCAGCGACUCGACACACCACAUGCAGCUGUGACUAUGGCUGUGAUGUGUGUUGCUGGUCUUUUUUUUGUCCCAGUUGCUGGACUGACUGGGUUCCAUAUUGUGCUCGUGGCUCGAGGUCGAACCACAAAUGAGCAGGUGACAGGAAAGUUUCGUGGAGGCGUUAACCCCUUCACCAAUGGCUGCGUGACGAAUAUUUCACAUGUACUUUGCAGCUCACUGGCACCCAGAUAUACGGGUCGUUCUCGGAAGCCUCAGACAGUCGAACUACAGCCCCCCUUCCUCAGGCCACCUCUCACAGAGGCGCAGCUAGAAGCCAAGGUCCUGGACAAUGGUAUCCAGAAUGAUCGACACAGCACAAGAUCAAAGAGCAGUUUGGAUCAAAUGGAGAGCCAGUCGGCAGACACAGAGCCUCCACCUCCCCCGAAGCCAGACCUUCGUUAUCCUGGGCUGCCACGUGGUGACGCUGAGGAAAGCAGCUUGUUGACAGAAGGUGUGCCCACACAGUCCAUGUACAAGUAUCGACCCGCGUACAACAGCCCAGGAAGGAACCACAGUGCCCACACACAUGCUGGCAAGGUGAUCCGCGGGGAGAGUCUCGACUCUCCGUCGCCCUCUAUUCUUCACUCCAGCCACCAUCCCAGUUACCGUUCGGAACCGAGCAGCCUGGAUGGGGCCACGGUGGUGGGGGGUGGUGCGGGAGCAUUCAGAGGGGGAGGGGAGAGGGGUGAGGGCCCCGGAGGCUUAGGCAGGACUGUCGGUGGGGUGUCAGGGGGCAUGUCGGGUUACUCCCUGACCGGGCGCUCCCACACUUCGUACCCAUCCUCUCUGGUUCUGUCCACCGGGGGCUCACACUCCUCCAGCCUGCGCUCGGCGCACCUGGCACACAAUCCUCUGGCCACCCUCCAGUCAGAAGGAACUACAGACACCAGCUACAAAAGUCUGGCUAACCAGACCCCUCGGAAUGGCAGUCUGUCCUACGACAGCCUGCUCACGCCAUCCGAUAGUCCCGAGUUCGAGUCUGCCGCCCACGAGUUGUCGCCACAGAAGUCUCGUGCGCCGUUCCCCUCUGUGACAGGGGCUUCGGUCAGAGGCCAGCCUGAGACGGUGUCCCCCACUUCUCCGAUGCAGGGGUAUACGUCGCCCUUCCUCUCAGCCCAGCUCAGCCAACAGAGGGAGGGCCAUCUGCUCCAAGGCUCCGCCACUUUUUCCUCCCCCCACAGGGCCUACCUUCGUGCCGUCAGCCCGCCCCCUCCUUCUGGGCCCCCUGAGACGCUGCACCUGCUACAGUAUAACCACGACUCCUCCUCCAGAGUCCCCCGUAACUCUGUGUCAUCGUCCUCCUCCCCGGCGGCUCGCUCGCCGGAGCCUCCUAUCUCCCCGCCGCCUCGCGGCCUCUCCCUGGGGAAGCCCCAGUCUUACACUGGGGGGGUGGGGCCCCAGCAAAAGUUUCGGGCCACGGUGGCGCUGGGCGGGGGAGGAGCCGGAGGAGGGCAUCAGGCGCCACAGUGAGUAACGAAUACGUCAUCGUCGUCCCGCACAGCCUGCUCCUCUUCCUUUUCCCGUUCUUCCUAACCGACCUCUUUUCCUCUGAACCUUGUGUCAGCCAUCCUCUUCCUCCCUGAUCUGUAUCGUCCUCUCGUACAAUCUUGGCCAAUCACACGACCUCUAAACCAGGGGGCGGAGUGAAGAAGGUGACCGGCGUCGGAGGGACCACUUACGAGAUAUCGGUUUGAGUGACAUGCAGUCUAUUCCACUGAGGAGGAGGAAAGCAAAGUCACUGGACAACUAACACGCGUUCUUCUCAGAGCUGGAUGUUAUUCAUGACUGCAGAGCCAAAAGCACCGCUGCAUGUGCACCUGCCUGUCCGGUACCGACUGGCCUCUUCAAUCUGGACAAAGACUGUAUGUACAUGGUUCUUGUUUCACAAGUCACUUUGUGAUGCACAGACCGUUUGGGGGAGCUGUUUCUUCAAGGACAGAACAUGCACAGAUGCUGUUUGAUGUGGGUACAAUAGGACACGGUAUUUUUGACACUUGAGGGUAGCCGAUUGAAUUUUAGGGGUUUUAGGAGUGUUGACCAAUGACGACUGUCUCGUUGUAUGGACCACACAGCCUGGUGAGUGAAAAGCAUCGAACCUAUAAAACACAGUAUCAUUUUAGUUUUCUAAGUCCUUAUUUUUAAAUAUUAUUUUAUAUAAAUGUGUAAGAUCUUACAGAUUAUUAUUGGGUCCUGUCGUCAGGUAUUGAAGAUGACUUAUCAACGAGGGUGGCAAAUGUAUAAUGUGUAUAAUUGUUUAUUUUUGAUUACAAAUGUGUUGCCUGUGUAGAAUUGAAGGCUGCAUCAGCCACUCGUGAGCUCUUGCCGAAAUUGUAACAAUCCAAAGAGUCGACCUCUGACGUGGCAAACAAUUGAGCUUUGUUUUCAAAAGCCACAGAAAAUCUUGGAGUGGAACGCAUCUUCGUUGAAUGUACCUGUCCAUGUAAUCUUUGUGUGUUUGAGGCAUUAUGCAAAAUCAGUUUUGUAGCUUUAAGAUCAUUGUCUUGUUUCCGAUGCUAGCAGAAUCGUUUUGAAUCCUUUUCAUGGUUGUCCAGCCAGUUAGGGACAGCGAGGGAUGGGCUCAUUUAUUUGAACUUGUAGUUCAGCUAAAACAUUUUAAACAGGUCUCUUAGUUGUUUUGAAAGCUUGGAUACAAUUUUGAAUUUUUUUUUUUUUUUUUUGUUUAAAGAGAUAAAACUGCUGUUACUCCAUGUGAUCGUCUAAAACAAAUUAAAUCCCCAUUUUGAAUAUUUAAAAAGAACCGGAAAGAGAGUAGGCUUGUGCUUUUUGGCUGCCACUUCAUCCACUUUUUCAUUUAAGUUUAGUGCUUAAAUCAGGAUCCCUCGCCGUACCGUGGCCAGAGGUAGAACCCAGCUGGGUUCAGCCGGCCAACACUUAUCUGCCACACUGUGUUGGAUCAACUUUAAUUUUUUUCUGCCGUGGUCACCCCUUCCAGCGAUGACUCCUUUAUGGCUUCGGUUGUGGCGCUGCCAUGAACAACUGUGCAUCUCCUCGGCUAUCAGAUGCCUCCUUUAAGAGAGAUCUCGGUGGAGGGUUAUAGCUAUUUGAAUCUGUGAUCCAUGACUACAAGAGCUACGCGCAGGGUAGUCAAAAUGGUGUCGGCCAUCAACACAGGCCAAAAAUUGUGGCAAUAUUGUAUUUUUGAAGUGAAUGCAGCGUGGCAGCUUUUGCCAGAAUGAAAUAAGUAGAAUAGAUAUAAGAUUCUUUCUUUUUCCAGUCUGAAAAUUCUGAUUCGCCGAUCGCUUUUCCACACCCACUAGAAUCCCAAUUUGAGUCACCACCGAUUAGUGCACAGCCCUACUGUUUUGCAAUGAAAGUAUUGGAUUUAUUUUUCUUCCUUUAGACCAUUUAGCUUAAAGCAAGCACAUUUUUGCUCCCCCCACCUUUGCUGACGUGUAUAGCGGGUCUGAUUUUUUUAUUUACACUCAAAUGUCUGUAAAGGUACAAGUGACUUUUGAAAACCCACAGCCAUGUUGAGGAGGAAUCAAAUACGGGUUAUGUGAGUUCGUUUGUUCCAGUUGGGUGUUACAAUUAAAUUCAAUUGCUACCCCCUCUAUCAAGGACCUGAAGAAAUUCAGCAUGUCUUGGGAAGUGUACAUUUUAUUUUUUUAACCCAAGGGGGACUGUUAGACAUUUUCAAAUUUGCCAGGCAGUGUCUUCAUCAUGCACGUGUUUCUUGUUCAUGCUGAUUGUUUCCCUGGUGCGCAAACAUGAGACUUUUGUCCCCCUUUCCCUGGGAUCACAAUUGAGGAGUCAUCACUAAUGGCACAAACAGCUGAUGAAGAGAUUAAGGAACCUGUGUUACUUUCCUCCUGCUCAUGCCCAAGGAUGACACCUGCUGCACAAUUCCAACCUAUGUGAGUAUGUUGACAAUACUUCGUUGUGAGAAUAAAUAUUGCUCGUGGGAUUGGAAUGAGUUUCACAAAUAUCUGUAACACAUUUAAGACUUUUCCAAAAUGGCCUUAAAGAUUUUUUGAAGAUGUCUUCUCACAAUAAAAAGGUCAAACUGA
RNA transcript from Phyllopteryx taeniolatus (common seadragon), 6303 nucleotides. It is a transcript of the gene named zinc finger DHHC-type palmitoyltransferase 5b, with no coding region annotated. The record is from RefSeq and is a predicted model, not a curated record. The transcript has 12 exons. Lineage: Eukaryota; Metazoa; Chordata; Actinopteri; Syngnathiformes; Syngnathidae.